AAGGACGAAAAGCGGAGGUCGUUAACGGCCAACCAUUAACAAGUCGCGCUUCUGUUUCGUUCAGUUUUGAAGGAAUGAGAAAUUCCUUCAGUUGCUUUGCGUCUGUGCCUGCGUCUGCUAGCAGGUUCAGGGAAGCAAGAUUCCUCGGCACAAAGCCGCAAGGAAGUUUGUUCAAAGAAGUCGCUUUGCGUCUACAAGCGGAUUCGGAGAAGCCGAAUUCCUCGACGCAAACCAGCGAAGAAGCGAAUUCAAAGGAGCUACUUUGCGCCUGCGUCUUCUAGCAGAUUCAAGGAAGAUGGAUUCCUCGACGCAAAGCUGCAAAGAAGCAGACUCAAGGCAGCAGCUUCGUUCCUUGAAAACUAGAUAACCGGAAAAGCGGAGGCGAGCGUUUCGCCGCGAUGGGCAAAUGUUCUUCGCCUGGAGGGGAUGUUCACAUCCCGAAGGCGAAGGUUAUUUGACCCCGAGCGGCGGCGAGCCGAAGCUAGACAGUAAGGAGGAAGCCGAGAGCGCUGUA
RNAcentral lists this unclassified non-coding RNA (514 nucleotides) under Geobacillus stearothermophilus. RNAcentral's name for it is "16S-23S ribosomal RNA intergenic spacer". The record is from RNAcentral. Lineage: Bacteria; Bacillati; Bacillota; Bacilli; Caryophanales; Anoxybacillaceae.